This 582-nucleotide long non-coding RNA is filed under the name Capra hircus (goat). RNAcentral describes it as "lncRNA (ENSCHIG00000004489.1)". Lineage: Eukaryota; Metazoa; Chordata; Mammalia; Artiodactyla; Bovidae. The record is from RNAcentral.
AUGUGUGGAAUAUUUCCUCUUUGUUUUGCACACAGGGUGAGACUUUUCCCUCCGUUUGUUCUGGGGAGGCUGCACCGCGGGCUCUGCAGCGUGAAUCUCACCUUCUCAUUCUGUGAUCCCUUCAGACAACCGACCAGAGAGGCAGGAAGGACCUGGCAGGAGAGCAGGAGGCAAGAGGAGAGCCUAAGGAACUUCCUUUCACCUGCUCCGAGCUCCAGUCUGCAUCUCACCAGCAGCCACAGGCAACAAGGGCUCGUGCUACCGGUUACUUCCGGCACGUCCAUCUACAGCUGGCUGCACGGAGACUUUCAGUUUCUUUGGACAGAGGUUCCAAGGACACCCAAUAGCCUAGAGAGACUCCGUCAGACAGAGAAGUGAGGCCUGUAGCCAACAGCCCCAUGAGUGAGCCUGGAACGGACUCCUCCAGCCCCACUGAGCCUUCAGAUGACUGCGGUUUGACUGAAACCUCAUAAGAAAGCCUGAGUCAGAACCACCCAGCUGAAGCUGUUCUGAAUUCCUGACCCUCAGACACCACAUGAGGUAGUAAAUGUUUGUUAUUUGACAUUUUAAAAAUAAAGCUCC